CCCUCCUCAUGUGCAUCUUUCAACUGCUUCCCACUUUCUCUCUCCGGGACUGAAGUGGCAAAUACAGGAGGGAAGAGGGCUUACAGACAGAGCUCCCAAUAAAAGGCCUUUAUACAGAGCUGCUGAAUGGCAAUCUGUUUUACAGGGCAUCCACCGCCUACUAGUGCCUCAAUCCCUCUCCACCUGUGAGGAGAGAAACCCAGAUAUGAGAAAAGAGACAGGGGCAUUUCUUCACACAUGGUGAGUUAUCACUAAGGAUGACACAUUUUACCACAUGCUGGUCUACAAUUGGUCGCCUGAACUCAUAACUCCGAUUUUCUGUUUUGUAAUCCUUUUCAAGGAUUGGGAUGGAACAGCCCGUCUCUCUGCCCGCCGGUCUAUCAGCAUCCAUCUGUCUGUCUGUAUAGGAACGUCUCUGCAGGGCUCCACUGAUGAGGGUCAUGUAAUAGCUGCUGUAUAAUGGGCUCAAAGGAGGCUCAUUCAGGCUGAAACACCAUUUAAACCCACCUGUUUCCCUCCUCCUCCUCCUUUUUAUCCUCACGUCCUCCUUAGUACAGGAGUAGGGUGCAGCAUAUAGCUUAUUGUAUGGCCUCCGAACACACACAUACUGUACACACUCACAAACACACACUGUACAGGGUGUUAAACAUCAAAGCUAAGUGUGAGGUUCACUUAUAGCAGACCUGGAGUGCUUUACUAGUAUGGCCUUGCUGCACAGAUCCAGUGUCUGAAAGCGUUUACACAUGCUGCGCCACGUAUAAUUGUUUUUUUUUUCCGAUGGCUGAUGACAAUGGUGUGGCCAACGAAUGGCUGAUGGUCCUCAAUCCUCAUUAUGAACAAAACAAGAAAAUGUGACAAAUGUGAUACAGUAGAGUUAGAUGCUUGGACACAGCUUGGCCAUUGCUUUUCUCAUUCUUUUACUUGAAUGUGUAAGAAACAUGCAUGUGCUAGUGGGCUGAGAAGCCACUUUGUUUAGAGGUUGCUGGUAUUUUCAGAUGAUUCCAUUCUAGGACCCAGUUCCAGAAGUUUUUAGCCACACAAAAAGUCAUUGGCAUGUCAAGGAUAGAGAUAUAGAGUAACAGGCCUUUGUCUAGUGAGCCCCAGGUUCGCUGAGGGUAUCGUGCUCAUGCUAACACUCGUCAUGUUUCAUGAAGCAGUAUGGCAUGAGACGGCUUUUUUUUUUUUUAACACCCAGUAUAACUGUCCUCUACUUUAACACAACACACAUAGUAUGUUUGGUGGGG
Non-coding RNA from Xyrichtys novacula (pearly razorfish), 1244 nucleotides. Lineage: Eukaryota; Metazoa; Chordata; Actinopteri; Labriformes; Labridae. The record is from the annotation of a GenBank genome assembly.